AGUCGAGCGAAGCAGUUAAGAAGAUUCUUCGGAUGAUUCUUAACUGACUGAGCGGCGGACGGGUGAGUAACGCGUGGGUGACCUGCCCCAUACCGGGGGAUAACAGCUGGAAACGGCUGCUAAUACCGCAUAAGCGCACAGAGCUGCAUGGCUCGGUGUGAAAAACUCCGGUGGUAUGGGAUGGGCCCGCGUCUGAUUAGGCAGUUGGCGGGGUAACGGCCCACCAAACCGACGAUCAGUAGCCGGCCUGAGAGGGCGACCGGCCACAUUGGGACUGAGACACGGCCCAAACUCCUACGGGAGGCAGCAGUGGGGAAUAUUGCACAAUGGGGGAAACCCUGAUGCAGCGACGCCGCGUGAGCGAAGAAGUAUUUCGGUAUGUAAAGCUCUAUCAGCAGGGAAGAUAAUGACGGUACCUGACUAAGAAGCCCCGGCUAACUACGUGCCAGCAGCCGCGGUAAUACGUAGGGGGCAAGCGUUAUCCGGAUUUACUGGGUGUAAAGGGAGCGUAGACGGCAAGGCAAGUCUGAUGUGAAAACCCAGGGCUUAACCCUGGGACUGCAUUGGAAACUGUCUGGCUCGAGUGCCGGAGAGGUAAGCGGAAUUCCUAGUGUAGCGGUGAAAUGCGUAGAUAUUAGGAAGAACGCCAGUGGCGAAGGCGGCUUACUGGACGGUAACUGACGUUGAGGCUCGAA
Molecule: ribosomal RNA, 695 nt
Filed under: uncultured bacterium
Lineage: Bacteria
Description: bacterial SSU rRNA
Rfam family: Bacterial small subunit ribosomal RNA
Source: RNAcentral